GCGGUUUUGUAAGACAGUGGUGAAAUCCCCGGGCUCACCUGGGAACUGCCAUUGUGACUGCAAGGCUGGAGUGCGGCAGAGGGGGAUGGAAUUCCGCGUGUAGCAGUGAAAUGCGUAGAUAUGCGGAGGAACACCGAUGGCGAAGGCAAUCCCCUGGGCCUGCACUGACGCUCAUGCACGAAAGCGUGGGGAGCAAACAGGAUAGAUACCCUGGUAGUCCACGCCCUAAACGAUGUCAACUGGUUGUUGGGAAUUUAUUUUCUCAGUAACGAAGCUAACGCGUGAAGUUGACCGCCUGGGGAGUACGGCCGCAAGGUUAAAACUCAAAGGAAUUGACGGGGACCCGCACAAGCGGUGGAUGAUGUUCUUUAAUUCGAUGCAACGCGAAAAACCUUACCCACCUUUGACAUGUAUGGAAUCCUUUAGAGAUGAAGGAGUGCUCGAAAGAGAGCCAUAACACAGGUGCUGCAUGGCUGUCGUCAGCUCGUGUCGUGAGAUGUUGGGUUAAGUCCCGCAACGAGCGCAACCCUUGCCAUUAGUUGCUACGAAAGGGCACUCUAAUGGGACUGCCGGUGACAAACCGGAGGAAGGUGGGGAUGACGUCAAGUCCUCAUGGCCCUUAUAGGUGGGGCUAGAAACGUCAUACAAUGGCCGGUACAAAGGGUAGCCAAGCCGCGAGGUGGAGCCAAUCCCAUAAAGCCGGUCGUAGUCCGGAUCGCAGUCUGCAACUCGACUGCGUGAAGUCGGAAUCGCUAGUAAUCGUGGAGCAGCAUGCCACGGUGAAUACGUUCCCGGGUCUUGUACACACCGCCCGU
This 815-nucleotide ribosomal RNA is filed under the name uncultured bacterium. RNAcentral describes it as "bacterial SSU rRNA". It matches the Rfam family "Bacterial small subunit ribosomal RNA", at positions 575 to 1397 of the family's 1533-position model. The record is from RNAcentral.